CAGCAGCCGCGGUAAUACGUAGGACCCAAGCGUUAUCCGGAGUGACUGGGCGUAAAGAGUUGCGUAGGCGGUUAGUAAAGUGAAUAGUGAAAUCUGGUGGCUCAACCAUACAGGCUAUUAUUCAAACUCACUAACUCGAGAAUGGUAGAGGUAACUGGAAUUUCUUGUGUAGGAGUGAAAUCCGUAGAUAUAAGAAGGAACACCAAUGGCGUAGGCAGGUUACUGGACCAUUUCUGACGCUAAGGCACGAAAGCGUGGGGAGCGAACCGGAUUAGAUACCCGGGUAGUCCACGCCGUAAACGAUGGAUACUAGCUGUUGGAGGUAUCGACCCCUUCAGUAGCGAAGCUAACGCGUUAAGUAUCCCGCCUGUGGAGUACGGUUGCAAGACUAAAACUCAAAGGAAUUGAC
This 409-nucleotide ribosomal RNA is filed under the name uncultured bacterium. RNAcentral's name for it is "bacterial SSU rRNA". It matches the Rfam family "Bacterial small subunit ribosomal RNA", at positions 509 to 914 of the family's 1533-position model. The record is from RNAcentral.